Molecule: ribosomal RNA, 298 nt
Filed under: Craspedacusta sowerbii
Lineage: Eukaryota; Metazoa; Cnidaria; Hydrozoa; Limnomedusae; Olindiidae
Description: partial 28S ribosomal RNA
Rfam family: Eukaryotic large subunit ribosomal RNA
Source: RNAcentral
UUGACCUCAGAUCAGGCAAGACUACCCGCUGAAUUUAAGCAUAUUAAUAAGCGGAGGAAAAGAAACUAACGAGGAUUCCCCUAGUAACGGCGAGUGAAGCGGGAAGAGCUCAAGCUUGAAAUCUCCGGUGCCUGGCAUCGGCGAAUUGUAGUCUCGAGAAGCGUCUUCAAGACGGACGUGCGGUGCCUAAGUUGCUUGGAACGGCACACCGCAGAGGGUGACAGUCCCGUGUGCGGUGCCGCGCGCUGUCGACGAUGCGCUUUCGACGAGUCGGGUUGCUUGGGACUGCAGCCCAAAG